GAUGAAGAACGUAGCGAAAUGCGAUACGUAAUGUGAAUUGCAGAAUUCAGUGAAUCAUCGAAUCUUUGAACGCAUAUUGCGCUCUCUGGUAUUCCGGAGAGCAUGCUUGUUUGAGUAUCAGUAAACACCUCAACUUCCAUAUCUUUUUUGAAAUGGGAGUUGGACUUGAGUGAUCCCAACGCUUUUCCUCACCGAAAAGUGGUGGGUUACUUGAAAUGCAGGUGCAGCUGGACUUUUCUCUGAGCUAUAAGCAUAUCUAUUUAGUCUGCCUAAAAAACAGAUUAUUACCUUUGCUGCAGCUAACAUAAAGGAGAUUAGUUCUUGUGCUGACUGAUGCAGGAUUCACAAGGACAGGCUUCGGCCGACUUUGUAAACUCGAUCUCAAAUCAAGUAAGACUACCCGCUGAACUUAAGCAUAUCAAUAAGCGGAGGA
This 433-nucleotide unclassified non-coding RNA is filed under the name soil metagenome. Its description in RNAcentral is "partial contains 5.8S ribosomal RNA, internal transcribed spacer 2, and large subunit ribosomal RNA". The stretch from base 1 to 120 matches the Rfam family "5.8S ribosomal RNA", at positions 35 to 154 of the family's 154-position model. The record is from RNAcentral.